RNAcentral lists this unclassified non-coding RNA (210 nucleotides) under Hevea brasiliensis (rubber tree). Lineage: Eukaryota; Viridiplantae; Streptophyta; Magnoliopsida; Malpighiales; Euphorbiaceae. The record is from RNAcentral.
GCGCUGUUCAACUACUACACCAAGAAUUAGGCUCAAAAGAGGAUCUAGGUACUGUCAACUUCAAAUGCUUUGGCUCGCUAGCAACAAUGCAGCAGGCAACAAAAAGAAUUGCCAAUGAAUCAACAUCCAUUAAUCAGCCAGUUUUGAAGCCAAAACUUUGUGUCUAGUUAGCAGUACUUCGUUCAUUUGAGCGAUUUGAUUCAGGAGCUG